CCUACGGGAGGCAGCAGUGGGGAAUAUUGGGCAAUGGGCGCAAGCCUGACCCAGCAACGCCGCGUGAAGGAAGAAGGCCCUCGGGUUGUAAACUUCUUUUGUCAGGGACGAAGAAAGUGACGGUACCGGACGAAUAAGCCACGGCUAACUACGGGCCAGCAGCCGCGGUAAGACGUAGGAGGCAAGCGUUAUCCGGAUUUACGGGGUGAAAAGGGCGGGUAGGCGGGAUUGGAAGUCAGAUGUGAAAUUCCAGGGCUCAACCCUGGACCUGCAUUUGAAACUGUAGUUCUUGAGUGAUGGAGAGGCAGGCGGAAUUCCGUGUGUAGCGGUGAAAUGCGUAGAUAUACGGAGGAACACCAGUGGCGAAGGCGGCCUGCUGGACAUUAACUGACGCUGAGGCGCGAAAGCGUGGGGAGCAAACAGGAUUAGAUACCCCAGUAGUC
RNAcentral lists this ribosomal RNA (443 nucleotides) under uncultured bacterium. RNAcentral's name for it is "partial 16S ribosomal RNA". It matches the Rfam family "Bacterial small subunit ribosomal RNA", at positions 338 to 795 of the family's 1533-position model. The record is from RNAcentral.